CAGCCGCCGCGGUAAUACAGAGGGUGCGAGCGUUAAUCGGAUUUACUGGGCGUAAAGCGUGCGUAGGCGGCUUUUUAAGUCGGAUGUGAAAUCCCUGAGCUUAACUUAGGAAUUGCAUUCGAUACUGGGAAGCUAGAGUAUGGGAGAGGAUGGUAGAAUUCCAGGUGUAGCGGUGAAAUGCGUAGAGAUCUGGAGGAAUACCGAUGGCGAAGGCAGCCAUCUGGCCUAAUACUGACGCUGAGGUACGAAAGCAUGGGGAGCAAACAGGAUUAGAGACCCCAGUAGUCCCUGUCUCUUAUAA
This 301-nucleotide ribosomal RNA is filed under the name uncultured bacterium. Its description in RNAcentral is "partial 16S ribosomal RNA". It matches the Rfam family "Bacterial small subunit ribosomal RNA", at positions 509 to 809 of the family's 1533-position model. The record is from RNAcentral.